This 492-nucleotide ribosomal RNA is filed under the name uncultured bacterium. RNAcentral describes it as "partial 16S ribosomal RNA". It matches the Rfam family "Bacterial small subunit ribosomal RNA", at positions 29 to 507 of the family's 1533-position model. The record is from RNAcentral.
AGUGAACGCUGGCGGUAGGCCUAACGCAUGCAAGUCGAACGGCAGCACAGUAAGAGCUUGCUCUUACGGGUGGCGAGUGGCGGACGGGUGAGGAAUACAUCGGAAUCUACUUUUUCGUGGGGGAUAACGUAGGGAAACUUACGCUAAUACCGCAUACGACCUACGGGUGAAAGCAGGGGAUCUUCGGACCUUGCGCGAUUGAAUGAGCCGAUGUCGGAUUAGCUAGUUGGCGGGGUAAAGGCCCACCAAGGCGACGAUCCGUAGCUGGUCUGAGAGGAUGAACAGCCACACUGGAACUGAGACACGGUCCAGACUCCUACGGGAGGCAGCAGUGGGGAAUAUUGGACAAAGGGCGCAAGCCUGAUCCAGCCAUACCGCGUGGGUGAAGAAGGCCUUCGGGUUGUAAAGCCCUUUUGUUGGGAAAGAAAAGCAGCAGGUUAAUACCCCGCUGUUCUGACGGUACCCAAAGAAUAAGCACCGGCUAACUUCGUG